This 460-nucleotide ribosomal RNA is filed under the name uncultured bacterium. RNAcentral describes it as "partial 16S ribosomal RNA". It matches the Rfam family "Bacterial small subunit ribosomal RNA", at positions 338 to 795 of the family's 1533-position model. The record is from RNAcentral.
CCUACGGGUGGCAGCAGUGAGGAAUAUUGGUCAAUGGACGCGAGCCUGAACCAGCCAAGUAGCGUGAAGGAUGACUGCCCUACGGGUUGUAAACUUCUUUUAUAAAGGAAUAAAGUGAGGCACGUGUGCCUUUUUGUAUGUACUUUAUGAAUAAGGAUCGGCUAACUCCGUGCCAUCAGCCGCGGUAAUACGGAGGAUCCGAGCGUUAUCCGGAUUUAUUGGGUUUAAAGGGAGCGUAGAUGGUUUGUUAAGUCAGUUGUGAAAGUUUGCGGCUCAACCGUAAAAUUGCAAUUGAUACUGGCAGUCUUGAGUACAGUAGAGGUAGGCGGAAUUCGUGGUGUAGCGGUGAAAUGCUUAGAUAGCACGAAGAACUCCGAUUGCGAAGGCAGCUUACUAAACUGCCACUGACGUUGAUGCUCGAAAGUGUGGGUAUCAAACAGGAUUAGAUACCCGAGUAGUC